RNAcentral lists this non-coding RNA (86 nucleotides) under Rummeliibacillus stabekisii. RNAcentral describes it as "c-di-GMP sequence". It matches the Rfam family "c-di-GMP-I riboswitch aptamer". From Rfam's summary of the family: GEMM was predicted in a large-scale screen for bacterial structured RNA regulatory elements. Genes associated with GEMM are involved in a diverse array of functions, including chemotaxis regulation, signal transduction, secretion and chitin. The record is from Rfam by way of RNAcentral. Lineage: Bacteria; Bacillati; Bacillota; Bacilli; Caryophanales; Caryophanaceae.
ACAACGACAAGGCAACACUAUAGAAAUAUAGUUGCGCAAAGCUAUAGGGGCUAAGGUGGUUUCCACUAAGCCAGCCAGUUACCGAA